AGAGAGAGACAUGCGCGCAUAUCAAUAAGCGGAGGAAAAGUAACUAACAAGGAUUCCCCUAGUAACGGCGAGUGAAGCGGGAAGAGCUCAAAUUUGAAAUCUUAAAGGGUUUCCCUUUACGAAUUGUAGUUUAAAGAAGUGUUUUCUGUUGAGGUUUUGGUAAAAGUUCUUUGGAAUAGGACAUCAUAGAGGGUGAGAAUCCCGUAUUUGACCUUUACUUUCAACUUUGUGAUACACUUUCAAAGAGUCGGAUUGUUUGGGAAUGCAGUCCAAAAUGGGUGGUAAAUUUCAUCUAAAGCUAAAUAUUGGCGAGAGACCGAUAGCGAACAAGUACCGUGAGGGAAAGAUGAAAAGAACUUUGAAAAGAGAGUUAAACAGCUACGUGAAAUUGUCAAAAGGGAAGCGUUUGACACCAGUGUUGUUUUUCUGAAAAUCAAUUAAAGAACUGUUUAUGCUAAGUUGUUUAGACUUUAUCAGCUAUCUGUUUAGUUUUGAGCUUUUCUUUAAUGCACUUUUCAGUUAACAAGUCAACAUCAAUUUCUUUUGCUGUAAAAAAGCUUGAGGAAGGUGGCUUGAGAUUCGUCUUAAGUGUUUAUAGCCUCUUGCCUAUGCAGUCGGAGAGAUUGAGGUCUGCAGCGUAGAUCCUUCGGGGCUAAAUGCAUUUGUGCUAAGUUAUAGCAUUUUAUAGACAACUUGUUGACUAUGAUUUGUCUUGUAGCUUACUCGCUUAUGUUAUUUUACCUACGCUUAGGAUGUUGACGCAUGAGAUAUACGC
Molecule: ribosomal RNA, 775 nt
Filed under: uncultured Neocallimastigales
Lineage: Eukaryota; Fungi; Neocallimastigomycota; Neocallimastigomycetes; Neocallimastigales
Description: partial large subunit ribosomal RNA
Rfam family: Eukaryotic large subunit ribosomal RNA
Source: RNAcentral